CCGGGCGCUCGCUGGCACCGUGGCCGCAGCGGCCGGCCUGGGAGCCAGGAGGGCGAGGCGGCUGCACCUUCGGGGCCAGAUUGGAGUUCGAAGAGUGGCGGGUACCCCAGAAGCUCGGGGCCGGGGCGAUGGCUGCAGCCUCGGGAGGGUAUCGCCGGAUCGAACUCCGGGAAAGGGAAGCAAAGGCAUGGAACCUCCGCACACUGGAUGAGAAUCCAUCUUCCAUUCGAGCUGGGAAUAGACUUUGUGAAAGAUAUUAUGUAAUGGAGUCUCGGGAACCCUGAGACCUCUCCAGCGAAGCUGAAGUGAAUUAAUUAAGUGCUUUAAACGGUCUUGGUGCUGUGUUACGGGAGAGAGUGACUGGAAAGUAACAAAGCUGAAUCUUUCUCCCUGGAGUAAGGCCGAAGACUGGAUUACUACACGCCUAGACGUGACACUACACCCAUAGAUCUCAUGCAUCAUUAAUGCCAUAUGACAUUGCCAUUUUCUUUCUCAGUUCACGGACAAAAGUGGUGGGUUUUCAUUGUCUUCACUGAUUGUCAA
Molecule: long non-coding RNA, 543 nt
Filed under: Homo sapiens (human)
Lineage: Eukaryota; Metazoa; Chordata; Mammalia; Primates; Hominidae
Description: non-protein coding lnc-FEZ2-7:10
Source: RNAcentral